This 169-nucleotide ribosomal RNA is filed under the name Lophodermium baculiferum. RNAcentral's name for it is "5.8S ribosomal RNA". It matches the Rfam family "5.8S ribosomal RNA". Rfam says of the family: 5.8S ribosomal RNA (5.8S rRNA) is a component of the large subunit of the eukaryotic ribosome. It is transcribed by RNA polymerase I as part of the 45S precursor that also contains 18S and 28S rRNA. Lineage: Eukaryota; Fungi; Ascomycota; Leotiomycetes; Rhytismatales; Rhytismataceae. The record is from RNAcentral.
AAACUUUCAACAACGGAUCUCUUGGUUCUGGCAUCGAUGAAGAACGCAGCGAAAUGCGAUAAGUAAUGUGAAUUGCAGAAUUCAGUGAAUCAUCGAAUCUUUGAACGCACAUUGCACCGUCUGGUAUUCCGGACGGUAUGCCUGUUCGAGCGUCAUAACAACCUUCAAG